This 236-nucleotide long non-coding RNA is filed under the name Lathyrus oleraceus (garden pea). Its description in RNAcentral is "Pisum sativum (pea) long non-coding RNA (PSAT_LNC006767)". The record is from RNAcentral. Lineage: Eukaryota; Viridiplantae; Streptophyta; Magnoliopsida; Fabales; Fabaceae.
CUCAUGCCAAUCCUUAUAAGUGACAACCAUAUCCUGGAUAAGCUUCUUGAUGUUCUUGUUCGCAACUUCAACAGCCCCAUUCAUAUUGGGUCUAUAGGGAGAAGAACUAUGAUGUGCAAUCUUGAAGUCUUUGCAGAGAGCUUCCACCAUAUUGUUAUUUAAGUUCGAUCCAUUAUUAGUAAUAAUCUUACUUGGCACACCAUAACGGCAUAUGAUCUGAUUCUUGAUAAACCUUA